CUUGCUUCUCUUGAGAGCGGCGGACGGGUGAGUAAUGCCUAGGAAUCUGCCUGGUAGUGGGGGAUAACGUUCGGAAACGGACGCUAAUACCGCAUACGUCCUACGGGAGAAAGCAGGGGACCUUCGGGCCUUGCGCUAUCAGAUGAGCCUAGGUCGGAUUAGCUAGUUGGUGGGGUAAUGGCUCACCAAGGCGACGAUCCGUAACUGGUCUGAGAGGAUGAUCAGUCACACUGGAACUGAGACACGGUCCAGACUCCUACGGGAGGCAGCAGUGGGGAAUAUUGGACAAUGGGCGAAAGCCUGAUCCAGCCAUGCCGCGUGUGUGAAGAAGGUCUUCGGAUUGUAAAGCACUUUAAGUUGGGAGGAAGGGUUGUAGAUUAAUACUCUGCAAUUUUGACGUUACCGACAGAAUAAGCACCGGCUAACUCUGUGCCAGCAGCCGCGGUAAUACAGAGGGUGCAAGCGUUAAUCGGAAUUACUGGGCGUAAAGCGCGCGUAGGUGGUUUGUUAAGUUGGAUGUGAAAUCCCCGGGCUCAACCUGGGAACUGCAUUCAAAACUGACUGACUAGAGUAUGGUAGAGGGUGGUGGAAUUUCCUGUGUAGCGGUGAAAUGCGUAGAUAUAGGAAGGAACACCAGUGGCGAAGGCGACCACCUGGACUAAUACUGACACUGAGGUGCGAAAGCGUGGGGAGCAAACAGGAUUAGAUACCCUGGUAGUCCACGCCGUAAACGAUGUCAACUAGCCGUUGGAAGCCUUUGAGCUUU
This 766-nucleotide ribosomal RNA is filed under the name uncultured bacterium. RNAcentral's name for it is "bacterial SSU rRNA". It matches the Rfam family "Bacterial small subunit ribosomal RNA", at positions 79 to 840 of the family's 1533-position model. The record is from RNAcentral.